CCCUUGACAUCCAGAGAAGUUGGCAGAGAUGCCUUCGUGCCUUCGGGAGCUCUGAGACAGGUGCUGCAUGGCUGUCGUCAGCUCGUGUUGUGAAAUGUUGGGUUAAGUCCCGUAACGAGCGCAACCCUUGUCCUUAUUUGCCAGCGAGUCAUGUCGGGAACUCUAAGGAGACUGCCGGUGACAAACCGGAGGAAGGUGGGGACGACGUCAAGUCAUCAUGGCCCUUACGGGUAGGGCUACACACGUGCUACAAUGGCCGGUACAAAGGGUUGCGAGACCGCGAGGUGGAGCGAAUCCCAGAAAGCCGGCCUCAGUCCGGAUCGAAGUCUGCAACUCGACUCCGUGAAG
RNAcentral lists this ribosomal RNA (348 nucleotides) under Salinicola salarius. RNAcentral describes it as "bacterial SSU rRNA". It matches the Rfam family "Bacterial small subunit ribosomal RNA", at positions 978 to 1325 of the family's 1533-position model. Lineage: Bacteria; Pseudomonadati; Pseudomonadota; Gammaproteobacteria; Oceanospirillales; Halomonadaceae. The record is from RNAcentral.